Molecule: ribosomal RNA, 812 nt
Filed under: Enterococcus sp. S183_ASV_20
Lineage: Bacteria; Bacillati; Bacillota; Bacilli; Lactobacillales; Enterococcaceae
Description: partial 23S ribosomal RNA
Rfam family: Bacterial large subunit ribosomal RNA
Source: RNAcentral
GGUUAAGUGAAUAAGGGCGCACGGUGGAUGCCUUGGCACUAGGAGCCGAUGAAGGACGGGACUAACACCGAUAUGCUUUGGGGAGCUGUAAGUAAGCUAUGAUCCAGAGAUUUCCGAAUGGGGGAACCCAAUAUCUUUUAUAGGAUAUUACUUUUCAGUGAAUACAUAGCUGAUUAGAGGUAGACGCAGAGAACUGAAACAUCUUAGUACCUGCAGGAAGAGAAAGAAAAUUCGAUUCCCUGAGUAGCGGCGAGCGAAACGGGAAGAGCCCAAACCAACAAGCUUGCUUGUUGGGGUUGUAGGACUCCAAUAUGGUAGUCUGUUAGUAUAGUUGAAGGAUUUGGAAAAUUCCGCUAAAGAGGGUGAAAGCCCCGUAGACGAAAUGCUGACAACACCUAGGAGGAUCCUGAGUACGGCGGAACACGAGAAAUUCCGUCGGAAUCCGCGGGGACCAUCCCGCAAGGCUAAAUACUCCCUAGUGACCGAUAGUGAACCAGUACCGUGAGGGAAAGGUGAAAAGCACCCCGGAAGGGGAGUGAAAUAGAUCCUGAAACCGUGUGCCUACAACAAGUCAAAGCUCGUUAAUGAGUGAUGGCGUGCCUUUUGUAGAAUGAACCGGCGAGUUACGAUUGCAUGCGAGGUUAAGUCGAAGAGACGGAGCCGCAGCGAAAGCGAGUCUGAAUAGGGCGAAUGAGUAUGUAGUCGUAGACCCGAAACCAUGUGAUCUACCCAUGUCCAGGUUGAAGGUGCGGUAAAACGCACUGGAGGACCGAACCCACGUACGUUGAAAAGUGCGGGGAUGAGGUGUGGGU